This 221-nucleotide long non-coding RNA is filed under the name Phoenix dactylifera (date palm). RNAcentral describes it as "long non-coding RNA (PDAC_LNC004323)". Lineage: Eukaryota; Viridiplantae; Streptophyta; Magnoliopsida; Arecales; Arecaceae. The record is from RNAcentral.
ACUGUGAGGUUGGAAAAUACCAAGAUUCCUCUUGGUCUCUUCUAUCAGAGAUCAAUUUUGCUUUGGUGGACAAGUCAUUGAAAGUAACUGUUCAUUCAUGUCGGCUAGAAUAAAAGCAAAUUAACAUGAUGAUCAGGGAUUGUCCAUUUUUUCAAUCAAGCAAGAUGUCAAAAUUACAUGAGAGGGUCUCUCCCUCUCCCUCCCUCCCUCCCUCCCUCCUU